Molecule: ribosomal RNA, 492 nt
Filed under: uncultured bacterium
Lineage: Bacteria
Description: partial 16S ribosomal RNA
Rfam family: Bacterial small subunit ribosomal RNA
Source: RNAcentral
AGUGAACGCUGGCGGCAGGCCUAACACAUGCAAGUCGAACGCCCGGCCAGUAAGAGCUUGCUCUUGCGGGUGGCGCGUGGCAGCCGGGUGAGGAAUACGUAGGAAUCUACUUUUUCGUGGGGGAUAACGUAGGGAAACUUACGCUAAUAACACAUACGACCUAAGGGUGAAAGCAGGGCAUCUUCGCACCUUGCGCGAUUGAAUGAGCACAAGUCGGAUUAGCUAGAUGGCGGGGUAGAGGCCCAACAAGGCGACGAUCCGUAGCUGACCCGAGAGGAUGAUCCGCUAGACUGGAAGUGAGAAACGGUCCAGACACCUAGGGGGGGCAGCAGUGGGGAAUAUUACGGGAUGGGGGCGUGCCUGAUCCAGGCAUACCGCGGGAGUCAUGAUGGCCUUCGGGUUGGAGAGCCCUGUUGGUGGUAAAGAAAAGCAGCACGUUUAUACGCCACGGUACUGACGGUACCCAAAGAAUAAGCACCGGCUAACUUCGUG